Molecule: ribosomal RNA, 2766 nt
Filed under: uncultured archaeon
Lineage: Archaea
Description: bacterial LSU rRNA
Rfam family: Archaeal large subunit ribosomal RNA
Source: RNAcentral
UAGGAGAUCAAAGCUAUUAGGUGGAUGACUUGGUUCAAGAGCUGAUGAAGGGUAUGACUAGCUGUAUUAAGCUCCAGGUAAGUGCAUGUAACUCUUGAUCUGGAGAUUCCUCAAUGAGACAUCUCAUUAAAUCCGUAAGGAUGGGGAACGCAGGGAAGCGAAACGUCCUAGUACCUGCAGGAAAAGAAAUCAAUUGAGAUGUUGCUAGUAUCAGCGAGAGAACGCAACAUAGUGCAAACUGAAUCCCUUUAAGAAAUUGAAGGGAGAUGUGGUGUUUUAAGGAGUGUUCACAUAAAUCUUCUCUUGGCAACUUGAAUUUCUCUGGAAUGAGAAACCUUAGAGUGUUAUAGUCACGUAAAGGUAACUGAGAAAGAUUUGAGCAUUUUCUUGAGUACUGUUCACCGGAUACUGAACAGGAAUUCGGGAGGCAUCAACUUCCAACACUAAAUACUACUUGAAUCCGAUAGCAAACCUAGUACAACGAUGGAAAGUUGAAAAGAACCCGUGACAGGGAGUUAAUAGAGCCUGAAACCUAAUAGCUAUAGAUUGGCAGGGCAUUUAGGUGUUCUGCCGUGCGUUUCGAAUAACGUGCCAGGGAGUUUAUCUGAGUGGCGAGGGUAAUCCUUUUUCUGGGAGGACCCGUAGCGAAAGCAAAAUACUCGCAGUUUACGAGGAGUGAGAUAUGAAAGUGUCUUGAGUCACUUGGAUAUGGCCCGAAAUCAGUCGAUCUAGCCCUGAGUAAGGUGAAGCGAGGGUAAAACUUCGUGGAGGCCUGUAGAGGUUCUACGUGCAAGUGUUCUUCUAACUUGGGGUUAGGGGUGAAAAGCCCAUCGAGACUGGUGAUAGCUGGUUCCUACCGAAGUUGGCCGCAGUCAAGCCUGUGGAGAGAUAAGAUGGAAGGUAGAGCUACGGAUUGGGGACUUAGGUUCCGAAAGGGAUCGGUUUCCUGUCCAACUCCAAAAAUCUAUCUAUCGUAGACACACAGAGACGGGGGGUCUAGGGGUAAGCUUGACUCCCAAGAGGGGAACUACCCAGACUGCAGUUAAGGUCCCAAAAUGCUGACUAAGUGCUAAAGGGACAAAAGCGUCUAUUGUCUCAGACAGCGAGGAGGUUGGCUUAGAAGCAGCCAUCCUUUAAAAAGUGCGUAACAGCUUACUCGUCAAGACAAUGGGCCUUGAAAAUGGACGGGGCUAAGUCAGCUACCGAUACUGUAGAUUACCAAACGGUAAAUGAUAGGUAGGCGUUCUGUUAGGACAGAAGUACGUCUGAGAAGAUGUAUGGACCAGAUAGAAAUGAGAAUCCUGGCGGUAGUAGGAUCAAAGCAGAGUGAGAAUCUCUGUCGCUGAAGGGGCAAGGGUUCCCUGACAAUGUCGAUCAGUCAGGGGUUAGUCGAUCCUAACUGUAGUCAUAAUAUGAUUUACGGGAAAGGGAAAAAGGCUAAUAUUCCUUUACAGCUUAAUUACAAGCGGCAACGCAGGCUUUGUUUCUGAUAUUUUUGGAUAGGCUUACAUAACUCGUCUGUUAUGUUAACUAAACUAAAUUUGGUGAGUAUCAUAAUGAUGAGAUCCAAAUUAAAGUUAGGAUGAGUAUCCCUUUGGGGUAUUAAGCUGAUACCAUGAAUCAGUGAAAAGGAAACAGAGAUGGAUAUUGAGCAGCCGUACCAAGAACCAGCACUGGUGCCCCUAGGUGAGAAGCCUAAAGCGUGAAGGUGUAAUCCAAUUGAGGGAACUCGGCAAAUUAGCCCCGUACGUUCGCAAUAAGGGGUUCCUGCUUUUGUCUAUUCAAUAGGCGAUGGCAGGGCGCAGUGACAAGGGGGGCCCGACUGUUUAACAAAAACCAAACUUUCUGCAAGCCCGUAAGGGUGAGUACAGAAGGUGACGCCUGCCCAGUGCCAGUACUUUAAACUCCUUUUCAAGGGAGCUAAGAGCUGGUAAACGGCGGGAGUAACUAUAACUCUCUUAAGGUAGCGUAAUACCUUGUCGUUUGAAUGACGACUUGCAUCAAUGGCGUACAAUGUGAGGAUCUUUGUGUAGCGUAGGUGGUAGCUUCGGCAACAAUGAAACACCACUCUUAGGUUCUUACGUUGCUAACUCGCAUGCGAGGACAGCUAUUGGUGGACAGUUUGGCUGGGGUGGCACCCUGCUGAAACGAUAUCAGCAGGGCCCUAUGGUUACUUCAAGCGGGUCAGAAAUCCGCUGUAGAGUGCAAGAGCAUAAAGUAGCCUGACUGGAUUGCUAACAAGAUGCAAUUCAGAGAAGAAAUUCGGGUCUAGCGAACCGCUAUGUCCUCCUUGAUGGGGGCUAGUGAUGACCGAAAAGUUACUCCGGGGAUAACAGAGUCGUCGCGCCCGAGAGCUCAUAUCGACGGCGCGGCUUGCUACAUCGCUGUCGGCUCCUCCUAUCCUGGCUGUGCAGAAGCAGCCAAGGGGGCGGGGGUUCACCGAUUAAAAGGAGUCGUGAGCUGGGUUCAGAACGCUGUGAGGCAGUUUGUUUAAUAUCUACUGGAGAUGUUUGAUGUCUGAAGGGAAGGGAUUUCUAGUACGAGAGGAACGGAAUCUCGGCGCCUCUGGUCUACCAGUUAUCUGAUAAGGUACGCUGGGCAGCUACGCGCUGAUGGAUAAGUGCUGAAAGCAUCUAAGCACGAAGCCAUCCUUGAAAAGAGACAUCAUAGGACGCCCAUAAAAUAUGGGUUUGAUAGAGCUGGUGUGUAAGUGCCAAGGCAACGAGGCAUUCAGCAUGCGGCUACUAACAGUUCAUACCUUCUACU